CCCGCCAUGGCGGCCUCCCGCCUCCCCCCGGCGGCCCUGACAUUGAAGCAGUUCCUGAGAAGACAGCAGGUGCUGGGCCUGUACCGGAGCAUCCUGCGAGCCGUCCGCCGCGUCCCCGCCCGCCCCGACCGCGGCCACCUGCGGGACUGGGUCCGACAAGAGUUCAGGAGGAAUAAGAGCGCCACCGACGAGGAUGCCAUUCGCAUGAUGAUCACCCAAGGCAACAUGCAACUCAAGGAGCUGGUGAGAGCCUUGGACUUGGCCAAGUCAUAGCCUCCAUCCCGCAGAGCCUCCUCAGUCCCCCGGAACCUCUGAGCUUGGUGAGCUCCUCCUCCAAGCUGUGAAUGUGCUCCUUCAGGGCGGCCUUCUCCUGCAGUGCUCGCUGGGUGGCCUGGCAGCGGGCCUCCUCCAUCUUCCGCUCGUACCACUUCUCCAUCUGCGUGGAGACGGCCUCGAAGAAGUACUGGGGACCGGAGGAAGCCCGGGGCAGGAAAAAGACAAUCUCAAGAGGAGCUGGACCUUGUGAUCCCCUGGAGGGGACAGUCCGUGAGCAUUCCCAGAAGAGUGAGGGUCGGGGUCCUCAAUUCCGCAACCCCAAGAGGCCCCGGAUGGCGGAAGGAGGUAGACGCCGCGGCCGACUUUCCCGGUUCCAGGCCCACGCCUGGUGCCUGCUAUGCUGACCCUUCCCUAGCGCACACACGGCUUGGGGACGAGGGAAUGCCGUCCAAAAAACUUUGGUCCGGCGUCUCCUCGCUCGCUGCCGUGGCAGGUCAGGAUGGCGCCCUCCACCCCCUACCCGCCCCAGGUUAGACAGAGCGAGCGGGAGACUCACCCGGAGAUGGCGUCGACUGUGGCCCGGAGGCUCUCGACUCUCCGCUGAGCUUCAGCUCCAGAUUCUGAAUCUUUCCCAGGCACCAGUUUUUCAGCUCAUCCACCAAGGACACCUAGAGGGAAAGUUGCCACCAGGCCCCGCAUCAGGCUGCGGCGCUCCGCCCGAUGACCAACCCGCUACGUCCCGGAUGUCUGCCCUGCCCCGGCCCUUGGGAGCCACCGGGAGGAGGGGGACACGGGCGCGUCACCACAAAAGUGGGUGUUCGAGGCAGCCUCUCGCCGUGGGCCCCCCCUUAAAGUAAGAGGCCGUUUAAAGAGGCCCAGGUACCCGACCGGCUGCAAGCUGUUGGGUAAAACCCCGGGGUUUAGACCGCAACCUUCUCCUAAACCAAGCUUUGGCUCGCCUCCUUGGUUCUGUGAAGCUGGAAGGGGCUCAAUAAAUAUCUGAACUGUCGAACCGGG
This is an RNA transcript of Ornithorhynchus anatinus (platypus), 1293 nucleotides long. It is a transcript of the gene named LYR motif containing 2, with no coding region annotated. Lineage: Eukaryota; Metazoa; Chordata; Mammalia; Monotremata; Ornithorhynchidae. The transcript is spliced from 5 exons. The record is from RefSeq and is a predicted model, not a curated record.